Molecule: long non-coding RNA, 2043 nt
Filed under: Apis florea (little honeybee)
Lineage: Eukaryota; Metazoa; Arthropoda; Insecta; Hymenoptera; Apidae
Description: uncharacterized LOC116415412
Source: RNAcentral
UUAUUCGAAAUUUAAUCGAAUAUUUUAUUCUAAUCCUUACAUAAUCUAAUACAAAAUUACGAUAAAAUAUAUCAAAUACCGUAUCGAUUAACUCCACGUUUAGUAUAGUUAUCGAUAUCUCGACUACGAUCGAAUUAUCGUGUCAACAAUGGAGCAUAUAAAUCUCAGGUGAACGAUAGAGGGACACUGAUGCAACACGGGAUUGAAACGAGCGUAUUGUUUCGAGGAGGAACACGCGCGCGCGCGUAACAUCGAUGCCCGACGGUAGAAACAAAAGUAGAAGGCGGAGGCAGUCGGCGACAGCGUGUGUACGAGGAAAGCCGACCACAUGAAUGAACCUUCCAUUCAUGCGUGCCUCUAACCCCUUCCUACAACCCCCGUCGCACCGUCUAUGGGAUCUUGUCGGCUACCAACGACACGACUAUGCGACACACACACACACACACAUAAAACACGCAUACUUACAAACAUUGAGACACAAAGAUGAAAAGAGAGAGAGAGGGAGGGAAGGAAAGAGUGCACAUGCGCACAAAACGAAGCGCCGCGACACACGUGACCGCCAUUGUUGAUCGCAAGGAAGAACCGGCAGCGCCAACCAGCCGCGUUAUUCCUGGCUUUUUUGCCAGAACCAGGACACUGAUAGCAUACUCGUUCUCCCGUCUUUCUAAGUGGUACCCUGGAGAGGUAUAAUACCGGGACGAAGGCUCAUUCAUUCGUUCGGUCACGUAACCGAGAUUAGGAGUGUUUGGCGCCGAUGUUUUUAACGGCUAAUGACGGUAUAUUCCUCGAUCUUUCGACGAAUGGAACACUUUCGAGAAUCUUCGAUCUGUAGAUGAAUUACAGAACAGAUCAAUCCAGGUUGUUUUUUUGUAAAGUUCACGGGUUCUUAAUUUGGAUAUAGAGAAAAUUGGAAUACAUGGAAUGACGAUAUGAUGAUAUGAUGAAUUAAUCAAAUUAAAUAAAGUAACCAGGAUUAAAAUGAGAAUCAUGAUAACUCAAGCACGUAUACGUUACGACCGCAAUGACCACAUCCAUAAACACUUAUUUUCAACAUCUCGAUUUUAUAUCUUUUGUAUUCAGACACCGAACCGUGUAAAUUCAAGGAAACAAGAACAAAGCAUGUCAUGUGUAAACAUAGAUAUCAGUAAUGUACCCAGUAGCUCAAGAAAUUAUUCGAACGUUUAUUAAAAAAUAUUUCUAUACAAAAUUAUGUUCAAAACACGAAAGAAAGAGAUUAAAAAUUUGAGAAUGAAUUUCAAAUUUCCAUCAAUAAUCUAUUAUGUUUUAUAUACAUACAAAUUCUUAAAAUCAUUAUUUGAGUUAAUCGAAUUUCUUAAUAAGAUAGUGCUCUAAUACUUUCGUGAGUUACUGUACGUUUCCUGGCUGAUUCCAAGCACUCUGUAAUAUACGAUAGAGUUUAACGAGUAUCAACGUCGGCCAGUUCCCAAGAAGUCGAGGCAGAAAAGUGUACGACUGUUGUCUCAUUCAUCGGCGACGAGGAAGAAGACCCUUGUCCCAUUCAUCGUAGUCCCGUCACGCUUGACGGGGACCUAGGUUAGCUGGAUUUUAAGCGCGGCAAGAGCGCAAGAAGGCACCAAUGGGGACCGUUCGAGUCCCGAUGGGAGAUGAAGAACACGUUUCUUCUUCCUCGUCAAAAGAGUAACAAGAAUGUCAUAAGCGGCCGGACGAAGAAGACACGGUGAAUCGGUUGUCUGUGUAACGAGACCCCGGCCACAAUUACAGUACUAAUGGAACCCACUACUUUAUAUGGCUUGGAGAAACGAUAUUACGAUAUUGUGAUCGAUUAUUCUUGAGGCAAUUCACGAAGUUAAGUUCUGUGAAAACAAACGAAUAUGGUUAUUUGAGUUUUUAAAAUUAAAUUUCACGGAUUUAUGGACCUUACUGUAUGAGCUGCGCUGAGAUGAUAAUUUUAAUUUUUUUAAUUAAUAAAUAGAUAUAUCAAGGAUAAAAUAUAUUUCUUAGAAGAGAAAAAUAUAAAACUCUUGAAAAAUAAUUUUUACAAUUUCUUAUUGUAUAUAUUAA